This 253-nucleotide unclassified non-coding RNA is filed under the name plant metagenome. RNAcentral describes it as "partial contains small subunit ribosomal RNA, internal transcribed spacer 1, and 5.8S ribosomal RNA". The stretch from base 205 to 253 matches the Rfam family "5.8S ribosomal RNA", at positions 1 to 49 of the family's 154-position model. The record is from RNAcentral.
UUUCCGUAGGUGAACCUGCGGAAGGAUCAUUAUUGGAUUUUGAAACUUCAGGCUGCUGCUGGCUCUCCUCGGAGGGCAUGUGCACGCUUGUUGUCCAUUAUUUCUCCCACUGUGCACAAAUUGUAGACCUUUCAGUAGGCCUAUGUUGUUUUUCUCAAUCUCUGAAUGUAAUAGAAUGGUUUUGAAUCUUGGGAAAUACAAUACAACUUUCAGCAACGGAUCUCUUGGCUCUCGCAUCGAUGAAGAACGCGGC